Molecule: long non-coding RNA, 969 nt
Organism: Canis lupus familiaris (dog)
Lineage: Eukaryota; Metazoa; Chordata; Mammalia; Carnivora; Canidae
Exons: 4
Source: RefSeq, a predicted model, not a curated record
UGAGACACUGAUGAGAUAUUGCUGAGUCAUUAAUGAGUCAUCAAUGAGUCACUGGUGAGAGACAUUGAUGAGACAUUGACACUGCUCACAUAGGAUGUGAAUAGAGGAACCAUCCUGACAGGUGUCUCUGCUUUGGAAAAAGCAGCCAAUUCAUCUGAAAGAGGAAGAAAAGUCAUUAUGUUAGCAGAGAAGCGAAGGUCUUAUCUGAACACAGUUGUUUUCAAACUUUCCUGGGCAAAGCAGUUACAUGGAGAAUUUGCUGUCAGUGAAGAUUUCUGAGACACCUCCACUCUCAGACUAAGGUUUUCCCAGCAUCAUGCACAACCUCACUAACUCCUUCCUGCACCUACGAAGGUGCAGAUUCCUGAGUCCUGCUGGGAUUGGGCUGAGACUCUGGAGGGGAAGCAAGUUCUGCUGGUAUCCUGUGCGUCCUGAAGACAAGAGACCACUGCCCCUAGUGAACCUCCAAGUCCACAGGCUUUGACAGCUCAGAGCCGCUCUGCAGCAGCCAUUUGUUGAACAACAAAGCAGUUAUCCUACAUACUCUGCUCAAGUUUAUAUUGCAAUCUUCUUUGGUGCAUAAAGAAAUGCAGUAUGUACCCCUCGUGGACAGAUUGGCCACAGGGGAUGUUGAAGCAACACUAGGAUGUCCAGCUUCCAGCUUUUGCUUCUUCUGGGAAGCCUUCCCUGAUUUUCCCCAAUUGGGCAGGAAUGACCAGGCAGCAAUCUGAUGGACACAGCAUGCACCUGAGAUCAUUGAUCCUGACCAUAUUCUUGUGAAGUUGGUUUUAUCAUUUCUUCUCGAAUAUGAGAAGAUGGUCUCAGAGGAAGGACCUUUGACCAAGGGCAGCAAGCGGAUAUGCGCUGAGCCGUGAUUCAGGCGCAGCUCUGUCUGAUGUCUCCGUGUUGCUGUGCUACAGUUCACCAGAGAUCAGAAAUACAAUAAAUACCAUGUUGACUAGCUUUUCA